This 442-nucleotide ribosomal RNA is filed under the name uncultured bacterium. RNAcentral describes it as "bacterial SSU rRNA". It matches the Rfam family "Bacterial small subunit ribosomal RNA", at positions 954 to 1390 of the family's 1533-position model. The record is from RNAcentral.
GCAGAACGCGAAGAACCUUACCAAGGCUUGACAUGCAUCGGAAACACUCAGAGAUGGGUGCCCCCUUUGGGUCGGUGUACAGGUGGUGCAUGGCUGUCGUCAGCUCGUGUCGUGAGAUGUUGGGUUAAGUCCCGCAACGAGCGCAACCCUUGUCCUGUGUUGCCAGCAGGCCCUUGUGGUGCUGGGGACUCACGGGAGACCGCCGGGGUCAACUCGGAGGAAGGUGGGGACGACGUCAAGUCAUCAUGCCCCUUAUGUCUUGGGCUGCACACGUGCUACAAUGGCCGGUACAAUGAGCUGCGAUACCGUGAGGUGGAGCGAAUCUCAAAAAGCCGGUCUCAGUUCGGAUUGGGGUCUGCAACUCGACCCCAUGAAGUCGGAGUCGCUAGUAAUCGCAGAUCAGCAUUGCUGCGGUGAAUACGUUCCCGGGUCUUGUACACAC